AUGAGCUAGAACGUGCGAGGGCUGAACUCGCCAGUCAGGAGAGCCACGGUCCGUGAGGUCGCGGACUCACAUAGGCUGGUUGUGUUGUGCCUCCAGGAGACCAAAAUAGAAACAUGGUCGCCGGCGUUAGUAAAAGAAAUAGGAGGUAGCCGAUUAGACGCCGUCGCGGUCCUGCCGGCGGACGGCACCAGAGGCGGAGCCGUGAUCUUGUGGGACUCCUCCAAGAUCACCAUCACCACUAAUGCGAUCGGCCAAUUCUCCAUCACAGCCCGCGCAAUGCUCCUGCAGAGCAGCAACACAUUCUGGAUUACCACCGUUUACGGGCCUACCGACAACAACCGCAAGGAGGAGUUCCUUGCUGAGCUGAUCAGAGCCAUGCCACCUGCCGGGGAGCCUUGGUUAAUCCGUGGUGAUUUAAAUGUAAUCGAUGAGGCGAGGGACAAGAGCAACCUCAACCUAAACAGGCAGAUCAUGGGCAGAUUCAAAGCAGCCAUUGACAGAGCUGGGCUGCGAGAGAUCAAAUGCAAGAACAGAUGCUUUACUUGGAGUAAUGAGAGGGAAAACCCCACGUUCAUCGCCAUCGACAAAAUGUUUUGCAAUCUGGAGUGGGAAACCCUGUUCCCCUCCUACAUCAUGAUGGUCGCGUCCACGACAUGCUCAGAUCAUUGCCCUCUUCUGCUGUCCAACGCUGCUGCACCGCACCGCAAGGAAAUUUUCAGGUUUGAGACGUUCUGGACGCGGUUCCCGCACUUCCAGCAGACGGUAGCCAGGGCUUGGCAGAGGCCGGUCAACCAUAGCUGCCCUUUCACAAGGCUGAAGAUCAAACUGAAGAGAGUCGUGGCUGACCUGAAGAUCUAG
This 858-nucleotide ribosomal RNA is filed under the name Triticum aestivum (bread wheat). Its description in RNAcentral is "partial small subunit ribosomal RNA". Lineage: Eukaryota; Viridiplantae; Streptophyta; Magnoliopsida; Poales; Poaceae. The record is from RNAcentral.